This 245-nucleotide ribosomal RNA is filed under the name uncultured bacterium. RNAcentral's name for it is "partial small subunit ribosomal RNA". It matches the Rfam family "Bacterial small subunit ribosomal RNA", at positions 26 to 285 of the family's 1533-position model. The record is from RNAcentral.
AGAAUCAACGCUGGCGGCGUGCCUAACACAUGCAAGUCGAACGAGAAAGUGGAGCAAUCCAUGAGUAAAGUGGCGCACGGGUGAGUAACACGUGACUAACCUACCCUUGAGUGGGGGAUAACCUAGAGAAAUCUGGGCUAAUACCACAUAAUACCUUCGGGUCAAAGGAGCAAUUCGCUUAAGGAGGGGGUCGCGGCCGAUUAGUUAGUUGGCGGGGUAAUGGCCCACCAAGACUAUGAUCGGUA